This 514-nucleotide ribosomal RNA is filed under the name Occidozyga lima. RNAcentral describes it as "partial 16S ribosomal RNA". It matches the Rfam family "Bacterial large subunit ribosomal RNA", at positions 1926 to 2608 of the family's 2925-position model. The record is from RNAcentral. Lineage: Eukaryota; Metazoa; Chordata; Amphibia; Anura; Dicroglossidae.
AACGGCCGCGUGAUUUAAGCGCGCGAAGGUAGCAUAAUAAUUUGUUCUUUAAAUGAGGACUUGUAUCAAUGGCAUCACGAGGGCUACACUGUCUCCUCUCCCCAAUCAGUGAAACUAAUCUCCCUGUGAAAAAGCAGGAAUAAAACUAUAAGACGAGAAGACCCCAUGGAGCUUAAAACACAACACUAAUUCUAAUUAUGUUAUCACUACAAUUUUAAAUAUUACGUGCCAGUUUUGGGUUGGGGUGUACCGCGGAGUACAACAAAACCUCCACAACGAAAAGGGUUUAUACCCUCAUACAAGAGACACUUCUCUAAGAAUUAUUUAACAUAACGUUUAAUGACCCGACUAUCGAUCAACGGACCAAGUUACCCUGGGGAUAACAGCGCAAUCCACUUUGAGAGCCCCUAUCGACAAGUGGGCUUACGACCUCGAUGUUGGAUCAGGGUAUCCUAGUGGUGCAGCCGCUACUAAAGGUUUGUUUGUUCAACAAUUAAAACCCUACGUGAUCUGA